RNAcentral lists this ribosomal RNA (434 nucleotides) under uncultured bacterium. RNAcentral's name for it is "partial 16S ribosomal RNA". It matches the Rfam family "Bacterial small subunit ribosomal RNA", at positions 29 to 507 of the family's 1533-position model. The record is from RNAcentral.
AGCGAACGCUGGCGGCAGGCCUAACACAUGCGAGUCGAACGAACCUUUCGGGGUUAGUGGCGGACGGGGGAGUAACACGUGGGAACGUGCCUUUAGGUUCGGAAUAACUCAGGGAAACUUGUGCUAAUACCGAAUGUGCCCUUCGGGGGAAAGAUUUAUCGCCUUUAGAGCGGCCCGCGUCUGAUUAGCUAGUUGGUGGAGGUAAUGGCUCACCAAGGCGACGAUCGGUAGCUGGUCUGAGAGGAUGAUCCGCCACAUUGGGACUGAGACACGGCCCAAACUCCUACGGGAGGCGGCAGUGGGUAAUCUUGCGAAAUGGCCUAAAGCCUGACGCAGCCAUGCCGCGUGAAUGAUGAAGGUCUUAGGAUUGUAAAAUUCUUUCACCGGGGACGAUAAUGACGGUACCCGGAGAAGAAGCCCCGGCUAACUUCGUG